Melozone crissalis (California towhee) is the source of this 235-nucleotide long non-coding RNA. RefSeq lists it as uncharacterized. The transcript has 3 exons. The record is from RefSeq and is a predicted model, not a curated record. Lineage: Eukaryota; Metazoa; Chordata; Aves; Passeriformes; Passerellidae.
GCAGCAGGAAAAAGCAGAAAGUGCUUGUGCAGCUGGACACUCAGUCAGACAGCUCUGAGCACACUGACCUCCUGAGCAUAGUCUCGGAAGAAGAAACAUUUAAAAAUUUGUACAAAGAUUAUCCACAAGCUUCACAGUUACAUUCCACAGCACCAAAAAAGAGCCCAGCUCCAUGCAGUGUGAAAUCUCCAGGCUCUGCUCUGAAACUCAAAACCAUGAGGAGAAUGCGCGAGGC